GACGAACGCUGGCGGCGUGCUUAACACAUGCAAGUCGAACGGAAAGGCCCUGCUUUUGUGGGGUGCUCGAGUGGCGAACGGGUGAGUAACACGUGAGUAACCUGCCCUUGACUUUGGGAUAACUUCAGGAAACUGGGGCUAAUACCGGAUAGGAGCUCCUGCUGCAUGGUGGGGGUUGGAAAGUUUCGGCGGUUGGGGAUGGACUCGCGGCUUAUGAGCUUGUUGGUGGGGUAGUGGCUUACCAAGGCUUUGACGGGUAGCCGGCCUGAGAGGGUGACCGGCCACCUUGGGACUGCGAUACGGACCAGUCUCCUACGGGAGGCAGCAGUGGGGAAUCUUGCACAGUGGGCGGAAGCCUGAUGCAGCAACGCCGCGUGCGGGAUGCCGGCCUUCGGGUUGUAAACCGCUUUCGCCUGUGACGAAGCGUGAGUGACGGUAAUGGGUCAAGAAGCACCGGCUAACUACGUG
RNAcentral lists this ribosomal RNA (468 nucleotides) under uncultured bacterium. RNAcentral's name for it is "partial 16S ribosomal RNA". It matches the Rfam family "Bacterial small subunit ribosomal RNA", at positions 28 to 507 of the family's 1533-position model. The record is from RNAcentral.